Molecule: long non-coding RNA, 288 nt
Filed under: Olea europaea (common olive)
Lineage: Eukaryota; Viridiplantae; Streptophyta; Magnoliopsida; Lamiales; Oleaceae
Description: long non-coding RNA (OEUR_LNC004662)
Source: RNAcentral
GCAGGACGAUCAGAUGGAGCAGGGCGAGACGUCUGGACUUGCCCCCAGGAAGCGAACAAGUCUUGGAUAGAACGCACAAUUUUGUCAGCGUCCUGAAAAGAAAAUUGCCAAUAAUAAAGAUUCUCACUACAACGAAUAGAAAUAGAAGUGAAGCAAAGACUACCUCAUCAACAAUCGUAGAAGAUGGCAUGUCCUCAGCCAAGCUUGCCACCAACGACUCCUCCAUUCGCGAGGACUUCCCCUUGUCUGAGCGAGAAGAUGUUGCCACAACGGGUAGACUCAUAGGAG